CCUACGGGUGACAGCAGUCGAGAAUCAUUCACAAUGGGGGAAACCCUGAUGCUGCGACGCCGCGUGGGGGAAUGAAGGUCUUCGGAUUGUAAACCCCUGUCAUGUGGGAGCAAAUUAAAAAGAUAGUACCACAAGAGGAAGAGACGGCUAACUCUGUGCCAGCAGCCGCGGUAAUACAGAGGGCUCAAGCGUUGUUCGGAAUCACUGGGCGUAAAGGGUGCGUAGGCUGUUUCGUAAGUCGUGUGUGAAAGGCGCGGGCUCAACCCGCGGACGGCACAUGAUACUGCGAGACUAGAGUAAUGGAGGGGGAAGCGGAAUUCUCGGUGUAGCAGUGAAAUGCGUAGAGAUCGAGAGGAACACUCGAGGCGAAGGCGGGUUCCUGGACAUUAACUGACGCUGAGGCACGAAGGCCAGGGGAGCGAAAGGGAUUAGAUACCCGAGUAGUC
Molecule: ribosomal RNA, 446 nt
Filed under: uncultured bacterium
Lineage: Bacteria
Description: partial 16S ribosomal RNA
Rfam family: Bacterial small subunit ribosomal RNA
Source: RNAcentral